Molecule: ribosomal RNA, 1379 nt
Filed under: uncultured bacterium
Lineage: Bacteria
Description: bacterial SSU rRNA
Rfam family: Bacterial small subunit ribosomal RNA
Source: RNAcentral
AUGAACGCUGGCGGCGUGCCUAAUACAUGCAAGUCGAACGCACAGCGAAAGGUGCUUGCACCUUCCAAGUGAGUGGCGAACGGGUGAGUAACACGUGGAUAACCUACCUUAAGGUUGGGGAUAACAUUUGGAAACAGAUGCUAAUACCGAAUAAAACUUCGUAUCGCAUGAUACAAGGUUAAAAGGCGCUACGGCGUCACCUAGAGAUGGAUCCGCGGUGCAUUAGUUAGUUGGUGGGGUAAAGGCCUACCAAGACAAUGAUGCAUAGCCGAGUUGAGAGACUGAUCGGCCACAUUGGGACUGAGACACGGCCCAAACUCCUACGGGAGGCUGCAGUAGGGAAUCUUCCACAAUGGGCGAAAGCCUGAUGGAGCAACGCCGCGUGUGUGAUGAAGGCUUUCGGGUCGUAAAGCACUGUUGUAUGGGAAGAACAGCUAGAGUAGGGAAUGACUUUAGUUUGACGGUACCAUACCAGAAAGGGACGGCUAAAUACGUGCCAGCAGCCGCGGUAAUACGUAUGUCCCGAGCGUUAUCCGGAUUUAUUGGGCGUAAAGCGAGCGCAGACGGUUGAUUAAGUCUGAUGUGAAAGCCCGGAGCUCAACUCCGGAAAGGCAUUGGAAACUGGUCAACUUGAGUGCAGUAGAGGUAAGUGGAACUCCAUGUGUAGCGGUGGAAUGCGUAGAUAUAUGGAAGAACACCAGCGGCGAAGGCGGCUUACUGGACUGUAACUGACGUUGAGGCUCGAAAGUGUGGGUAGCAAACAGGAUUAGAUACCCUGGUAGUCCACACCGUAAACGAUGAACACUAGGUGUUGGGAGGAUUCCCGCCUCUAAAGUGACGAAGCUAAAGCAUUAAGUGUUCCGGCCUGGGGAGUACGACCGCAAGAUUGAAACUCAAAAGAAUUGACGGGGACCCGCACAAGCGGUGAAGCAAGUGGUUUAAUUGGAAGCAACGCGAAGAACCUUACCAGAUCUCGACAUCCUUAGAAGCUUUUAGAGAUAGAAGUGUUCUCUUCGGAGACAAAGUGACAGGUGGUGCAUGGUCGUCGUCAGCUCGUGUCGUGAGAUGAUGGGUUAAGUCCCGCAACGAGCGCAACCCUUAUUGUUAGUUGCCAGCAUUCAGAUGGGCACUCUAGCGAGACUGCCGGUGACAAACCGGAGGAAGGCGGGGACGACGUCAGAUCAUCAUGCCCCUUAUGACCUGGGCUACACACGUGCUACAAUGGCGUAUACAACGAGUUGCCAACCUGUGAAGGUGAGCUAAUCUCUUAAAGUACGUCUCAGUUCGGACUGCAGUCUGCAACUCGACUGCACGAAGUCGGAAUCGCUAGUAAUUGCGGAUCAGCACGCCGCGGUGAAUAAAUUCCCGGGUCUUGUACA